This is a long non-coding RNA of Papaver somniferum (opium poppy), 832 nucleotides long. RefSeq lists it as uncharacterized. The record is from RefSeq and is a predicted model, not a curated record. The transcript has 3 exons. Lineage: Eukaryota; Viridiplantae; Streptophyta; Magnoliopsida; Ranunculales; Papaveraceae.
ACGCAAUUAACCUUCUCAUUACAUAAUCUAGAUCAUGAGUUUCUACUACAUGCAUUGUUCAUGGUAAUGUAUAAACAUCCAAUGCUCGUAUAAGCUAACCAGAAAAGAAAAAAAGUAACAGUAGCAUUUUUGAUAGUGAAGGUCACUCGUUUUCUUGCACCUUAAUUUCUUUUUGUGGUAUGUUUAUAUUCAUGGAAUCACGGGUGGUCACUGACACUCCCUGGUCAUUCGCCUCCAUCCUCAUUUCUAUUGGUUGAUAUGUUAAUUCGUGGAUUUCCCAGCAUGAACUAGGGAAAUGCGGUGGUACUAUUAAACCAAGUGACAAAUAAGGUUGUGGAAGGCUCAUUCCAGUUAUCACUUGCACUAGGUGAUAGUUGGUCACAUGCUUGCACAGAUCGUGUAAUUUUGUACUGGAACGGGAACCAGCGGUAUGCAUAUAUUGACAAGUCACCCUCGUUGUGGUCAGCGUCAGCUCUGUAUUCUGUGACAGGUAAAGGGAUACGCGAUUCUACUUCGCAUUGUAAAAGAACUAGAAUGAUGUAGUCCAGUGUACAGACUUUCUAUGUUGUUUCAUUGUUUCCACAAGUAAUUAUAGUAUAUCGAGUGGAGGAUGGUGAGAAACCAAUAGGGACCCCAAUUUUUUUAACGAUUUUGGUUUAUGCAACCUUCGGGUUGCAUCUUGGGGCACAUAAUUUUGAGAAAUUAAACACUAGGAGAUGAAACAGUAGAAUUUGUUGUUAUCCAUGAAUACAAUAAUUCAACUGUAGUCGGUCGAUGAUGCUCUUGAAAGCUUGGUGUGUAGAUUUGGCGAAGCUGAAUUCCAUCCUGGUCC